RNAcentral lists this ribosomal RNA (373 nucleotides) under uncultured bacterium. RNAcentral describes it as "bacterial SSU rRNA". It matches the Rfam family "Bacterial small subunit ribosomal RNA", at positions 527 to 898 of the family's 1533-position model. The record is from RNAcentral.
GUAGGGUGCGAGCGUUAAUCGGAAUUACUGGGCGUAAAGUGUGCGCAGGUGGCCGCGCAAGUCGAGUGUGAAAGCCCCGGGCUUAACUUGGGAAUUGCGCUCGAAACUACGUGGCUAGAGUGUGGCAGAGGAAGGUGGAAUUCCACGUGUAGCGGUGAAAUGCGUAGAGAUGUGGAGGAACACCGAUGGCGAAGGCAGCCUUCUGGGCCAACACUGACGCUCAUGCACGAAAGCGUGGGGAGCAAACAGGAUUAGAUACCCUGGUAGUCCACGCCCUAAACGAUGAUGACUAGUUGUUGGGGGAGUUAAAUCCCUUAGUAACGCAGCUAACGCGUGAAGUCAUCCGCCUGGGGAGUACGGUCGCAAGAUUAAA